This 347-nucleotide unclassified non-coding RNA is filed under the name soil metagenome. Its description in RNAcentral is "partial contains 5.8S ribosomal RNA, internal transcribed spacer 2, and large subunit ribosomal RNA". The stretch from base 1 to 119 matches the Rfam family "5.8S ribosomal RNA", at positions 35 to 154 of the family's 154-position model. The record is from RNAcentral.
GAUGAAGAACGUAGCGAAAUGCGAUAAGUAAUGUGAAUUGCAGAAUUCAGUGAAUCAUCGAAUCUUUGAACGCACUUGCGCCCGCCAGUAUUCUGGCGGGCAUGCCUGUCUGAGCGUCAUUUCAACCCUCAUGCCCCUAGGGCGUGGUGUUGGGGAUCGGCCAAAGCCCGCGAGGGACGGCCGGCCCCUAAAUCUAGUGGCGGACCCGUCGUGGCCUCCUCUGCGAAGUAGUGAUAUUCCGCAUCGGAGAGCGACGAGCCCCUGCCGUUAAACCCCCAACUUUCCAAGGUUGACCUCAGAUCAGGUAGGAAUACCCGCUGAACUUAAGCAUAUCAAUAAGCGGAGGA